GCCUGCAAAUCGAAAUCACCCGGAAUGCGGUCAAUCUCGUCAGAUCUCGCAAGCCAAGCAGAACUCAGCCUGCCUAAUAUUUGGAUGGGAGAUCGCCUGGCAAUAGCGGGUGCUGUAGGCU
RNAcentral lists this ribosomal RNA (121 nucleotides) under Petromyzon marinus (sea lamprey). The record is from RNAcentral. Lineage: Eukaryota; Metazoa; Chordata; Hyperoartia; Petromyzontiformes; Petromyzontidae.